This 298-nucleotide unclassified non-coding RNA is filed under the name Hevea brasiliensis (rubber tree). The record is from RNAcentral. Lineage: Eukaryota; Viridiplantae; Streptophyta; Magnoliopsida; Malpighiales; Euphorbiaceae.
GAGAUUGAAGAAACUCAAAUCAUGGAGUUUAUAAAAAUUGAAGAUUUGUUCCAAUAGAUGCAAAGGAUAAUGUGAAGUUCUUUUGUUCAUGUCAACUCUACUGAUACUAUUCAAGAGGAAGCCAUGAUGUGAUAUUCCAAUGGAGUUUUUAAUUCUUCAACACUUUGAAAUUCGAGGUUAAAUUUUCUCGAAAGUGUAGGUGAAUGACGCAGUGCGCAAAUGAAUAUUAGAUCAGAAGACUUUUGUUAUCCUAUUUUCACAAGGACUUAUUUUCUUAGAUAAAUUUUAUUUAUAUUUU